This 497-nucleotide ribosomal RNA is filed under the name uncultured bacterium. Its description in RNAcentral is "partial 16S ribosomal RNA". It matches the Rfam family "Bacterial small subunit ribosomal RNA", at positions 28 to 507 of the family's 1533-position model. The record is from RNAcentral.
GAUGAACGCUGGCGGCGUGCCUAAUACAUGCAAGUCGAGCGAACAGACGAGGAGCUUGCUCCUCUGACGUUAGCGGCGGACGGGUGAGUAACACGUGGAUAACCUACCUAUAAGACUGGGAUAACUUCGGGAAACCGGAGCUAAUACCGGAUAACAUGUUGAACCGCAUGGUUCAACAGUGAAAGACGGUCUUGCUGUCACUUAUAGAUGGAUCCGCGCCGCAUUAGCUAGUUGGUAAGGUAACGGCUUACCAAGGCAACGAUGCGUAGCCGACCUGAGAGGGUGAUCGGCCACACUGGAGCUGAGACACGGUCCAGACUCCUACGGGAGGCAGCAGUAGGGAAUCGUCCGCAAUGGGCGAAAGCCUGACGGAGCAACGCCGCGUGAGUGAUGAAGGUCUUCGGAUCGUAAAACUCUGUUAUUAGGGAAGAACAAAUGUGUAAGUAACUAUGCACGUCUUGACGGUACCUAAUCAGAAAGCCACGGCUAACUACGUG